Molecule: ribosomal RNA, 884 nt
Filed under: uncultured bacterium
Lineage: Bacteria
Description: bacterial SSU rRNA
Rfam family: Bacterial small subunit ribosomal RNA
Source: RNAcentral
AGAGUUUGAUCAUGGCUCAGGAUGAACGCUGGCGGCGUGUCUAAGGCAUGCAAGUCGAAUGGGUUUAGACCCAUGGCAAACGGGUGCGUAACACAUUGGUAACCUACCUCAAAGAUUGGAAUAACCCGGAGAAAUUCGGAAUAAAUCCAAAUGUGCUUAACAAUCUUAAGUUAGUUAAGUAAAGAUUUAUCGCUUUGAGAGGGGCCUAUGGCUUAUCAGCUUGUUGGUGAGAUAACAGCUCACCAAGGCUAUGACGAGUAGCGGGCGUAAGAGCGCGACCCGCCUCACUGGGACUGAGACACUGCCCAGACUCCUACGGGAGGCUGCAGUCAAGAAUCUUCCCCAAUGCACGAAAGUGUGAGGGAGCGACGCCGCGUGAUUGAAGAAGCCCUUCGGGGUGUAAAAAUCUUUUCUUAGGGAAGAACCUAUGACGGUACCUAAGGAAUAAGGGGCUGCUAAACUCGUGCCAGCAGCAGCGGUAAUACGAGUGCCCCAAGCGUUAUCCGGAUUUAUUGGGCGUAAAGAGUUCGUAGCCGUCCUAAAAAGUUUUUUGUCAAAUCCCAGUGCUCAACAUUGGGACUGCGGAAAAAACUUCUAAAAUAGAGGAUGGGAGAGGCAGAUGGAAUUGUCGGUGUAACGGUCAAAUGUGUUAAUAUCGACAAGAACACCAAAUGCGAAGGCAUCUUGCUGGAACAGUUCUGACGGUGAGGAACGAAAGCGUGGGUAGCGAAUGGGAUUAGAUACCCCAGUAGUCCACGCCGUAAACGAUGGAUGCUAGGCAUUGGUAGUUUCGACCCUAUCAGUGUCGUUCAAACAAGGUAACCCCUUAAGCAUCCCGCCUGGGAAGUACGGUCGCAAGACUAAAACUCAAAGGAAUUGACGGG